Molecule: long non-coding RNA, 870 nt
Organism: Cyprinus carpio (common carp)
Lineage: Eukaryota; Metazoa; Chordata; Actinopteri; Cypriniformes; Cyprinidae
Exons: 2
Source: RefSeq, a predicted model, not a curated record
CCUAAAGGCAUGUUUAGAUCCAACACAAAGCAAAGAUCUGAUUAGAAAUGAACAGCCAGUUCAGAGGGCUGAUUCUCAUGGGAUUAAUGUUCCCAUCUCAUCUGUAGUAUCAAUAAAUGCCUUUAUUUUACAUUUCUAAUCCAGCUUUUUGGGAUGUAGAUAUGAGAUGAUAUCAAUGAACUUGACAACAUACAAAGGGUUUUAGAACUGCUAAGGACCCCAAAUAUAAUGAUAAAUAUAAAGCCAGUUAUGUAUUUUUCUGUGUUUAAAACCCUUUUAUUUUGUAUGUGCAAAUUCAAUGAAAUAUAAAAUUAAAAAGAAAAGAAAAAUGAAAAAGACAACAGAAUAAUGAUCACAGAAUAACCUAUCCAUAUUCAGCUUUGUGAGGACCUUGCAUUGACUUUAUCCAUUGGUGUGUACCACAGAGGUUCGUUCUUGGACCGUUUUUUAUUCAAGACCUAAAUGGACUGAUUUAGUCACCUUUUGUGUCGGCUGAUGAUUGUGUAUUUCCCCAGGAUAUUUCAAGAAUGUGUGCUUUCUGUAAUGUAUCAAGAUACUGGUAUAUUUAUUCUCUGUAUUGUAGGUGCUGUCUGUUAAAGAAGACUCUUAAAGGAAAUCUCAUCUGGAAAAGGGUAAGUGUUCAAAUUUUCCCUACUUUCAUGGCCACAUGUGACUCCCAAGUUUGAGAGAGAUCUUGAUGACCAGCUGCUGUCCUACUCUAUUAUUGAAGUGCCUUUCAAGAGCUCAUCUUCUUAUCCAUUCAAGGGGGAAAUUCCCGACAUCUGUGCACAGCAUAAUAUGUUCAUUUCUUGUCAGAUUAUACAGCCAAUAUUUCACAAGAAUAUUAAUAAAUGGUGAAUUUUACAAUAA